CACUCUGGAGAGUCUCCGAAAGGAGCGCCGAAGGUGUAAGGCAGCCGCGUGCAGGGGCGCGGGGCCGAUCUCUCAGGCAAAAGGACAGGGCA
Molecule: non-coding RNA, 92 nt
Filed under: uncultured Enterocloster sp.
Lineage: Bacteria; Bacillati; Bacillota; Clostridia; Lachnospirales; Lachnospiraceae
Description: Glycine riboswitch
Rfam family: Glycine riboswitch aptamer
About the family: This family represents the bacterial glycine riboswitch. Glycine riboswitches usually consist of two metabolite-binding aptamers domains with similar structures in tandem.
Source: RNAcentral